Molecule: unclassified non-coding RNA, 335 nt
Filed under: soil metagenome
Description: partial contains 5.8S ribosomal RNA, internal transcribed spacer 2, and large subunit ribosomal RNA
Rfam family: 5.8S ribosomal RNA (bases 1-121)
Source: RNAcentral
GAUGAAGAAACGCAGCGAAAUGCGAUAAGUAAUGUGAAUUGCAGAAUUCAGUGAAUCAUCGAAUCUUUGAACGCACAUUGCGCCCCCCAGUAUUCUGGCGGGCAUGCCUGUUCGAGCGUCAUUUCAACCAUCAAGCCCUGCUUGUGUUGGGGUCCUGCGGCUGCCCGCAGGCCCUGAAAACCAGUGGCGGGCUCGCUAGUCACACCGAGCGCAGUAGCACAUCUCGCUCAGGGCGUGCGGCGGGCUCCAGCCGUUAAAGCACCCACCUUUCGCAAGGUUGACCUCGGAUCAGGUAGGAAGACCCGCUGAACUUAAGCAUAUCAAUAAGCGGAGGA